This 253-nucleotide ribosomal RNA is filed under the name uncultured bacterium. RNAcentral describes it as "partial 16S ribosomal RNA". It matches the Rfam family "Bacterial small subunit ribosomal RNA", at positions 524 to 776 of the family's 1533-position model. The record is from RNAcentral.
GACGUAGGAUGCAAGCGUUGUCCGGAUUUAUUGGGCGUAAAGAGUUCGUAGGUGGUUCGUUAAGUCUGAUGUUAAAGACUGGGGCUCAACCCUGGGAGUGCAUUGGAUACUGGCGGACUGGAGUGCAGUAGAGGCAAGCGGAAUUCCCAGUGUAGCGGUGAAAUGCGUAGAUAUUGGGAAGAACACCGGUGGCGCAAGCGGCUUGCUGGGCUGUAACUGACGCUGAGGAACGAAAGCUAGGGGAGCGAAUGGG